ACCCUGUGUACUUACCUAAACGUUGCUUCGGGGGGAAUAGACGGCCCGGUAAAACGGGCCGCCCCCGCAAGAGGACCCUUAAAUCUGUUUCUUAUAGUGUUUCUUUUGAGUAAAACAAGCAAAUAAAUUAAAACUUUCAACAACGGAUCUCUUGGCUCUGGCAUCGAUGAAAAACGCAGCGAAAUGCGAUAAGUAAUGUGAAUUGCCGAAUUCAGUGAAUCAUCGAAUCUUUGAACGCACAUUGCGCGCGCCAGUAUUCUGGCGGGCAUGCCUGUACGAGCGUCAUUACAACCCUCAGGCCCCCGGGCCUGGCGUUGGGGAUCGGCGGAGCCCUCCGUGGGCACUCGCCGUCCCCCAAAUACAGUGGCGGUCCCGCCGCAGCUUCCCUCGCGUAGUAGCUAACACCUCGCGACAGGAGAGCGGGGCGGCCACGCCGUAAAACACCCAACUCUUCUGAAGUUGACCUCGAAUCAGGUAGGAAUU
This 483-nucleotide small RNA is filed under the name Fusarium solani. RNAcentral describes it as "eukaryotic LSU rRNA". The stretch from base 132 to 285 matches the Rfam family "5.8S ribosomal RNA". Lineage: Eukaryota; Fungi; Ascomycota; Sordariomycetes; Hypocreales; Nectriaceae. The record is from RNAcentral.